GAUGAAGACGUAGCGAAAUGCGAUAAGUAAUGUGAAUUGCAGAAUUCAGUGAAUCAUCGAAUCUUUGAACGCACCUUGCACCCUUUGGCAUUCCGAAGGGUAUGCUCGUUUGAGUGUCAUUGUACUCUCACACUUCCAAUCUUUGGAUUGGGAGCAGUGGACUUGGGUGUUGCUGCUUACUGUGGCUCACCUCAAAUCGAUUCGUGCACCUCUUGGUUGGACAUAGUACGGCGUGAUAAGUGUCUUCGCCGGCACCUCAGUAGAGGGUGGCUGAUCAGGAGCUCUGUGCUUCAAACCGUCCUCGGACAACAACUGACAACUUGACCUCAAAUCGAGUAGGACUACCCGCUGAACUUAAGCAUAUCAAUAAGCGGAGGA
This 378-nucleotide unclassified non-coding RNA is filed under the name soil metagenome. RNAcentral's name for it is "partial contains 5.8S ribosomal RNA, internal transcribed spacer 2, and large subunit ribosomal RNA". The stretch from base 1 to 119 matches the Rfam family "5.8S ribosomal RNA", at positions 35 to 154 of the family's 154-position model. The record is from RNAcentral.